AUCUAAUUGAAUUUUUACAUAAUCCGUAGUUAAAUUGGAUUAGGAUGGGAUUUUUUUAUCUUUUGCUACAGAAUUUUGUCCGUCACUAAUUCUUUGCGGUUUCUUGUAGUAAUUGCGUAUUCUUAUUGAAUUCGAAUCAAAUUCACAUAUUCUAUUGUUUGUUCUGCUAAGAACUACUUAAUAAAGAUCAAACCUGUUCUCUUGAUCUUGCUUUGAAUUUGAUUUGAAUUUCUUAUUAGAGUGGUGUUGUAGUAAUUGCUUAUUCUUUUUGGGUUGAAAUGAGUUUGUGUUUUGCCAUAUUCUAUUGUUUGUUCUGUUAAGAACAACCUGAUAAAGAUCAAACCUUUUUCUCGAUUAUUUUCUGAUUUUCGGUUCGGGUUCUAACAUUGAAUAUAGUAGUAGUAAUUGAGUGUUCUCAUUUUUCCAGGGUAUAUCUGAAGUUUUUUUUCUUUUUCCUGAUUUGAAAUGAGCUUGCACAGGACUAAUUAACUGUCCUGUCCACUAUUAUUUAUUUGCUCCUGGAUAUUUUUGACAUAUUCUUUUGUCUGAUACUGCUAAGAACAAACAUAAUAAAGAUCAAGCCUUUUCACUCACGAAAAAAUAAAAAUAAAGAUCAAACCUUUUGCAUAUCAUGUUUUGGUUUUGAUUUGUUUUUGAAAUUAGAAUAUUGUGUUAGUAAUUAGUAUUCUUAUUUCAAGUUAUUGAAUCUUUCUUUUCGGAUUAAAGAUAAGCUUGCAGAAAAAUAAUAAAUCGAGAUUCUUUGUUUUGAUAAAACAUAUGCUGUUUGUCUUCGUUGUGGAGUUUAUUUCACUUACAGCUGACACUGGUUGAAUGAGUUUGAGAUUGAAGUUGAUUCUUAAAUCAACCUUUGGUCUUGAAGUUUAGGGUGUUAGACAGGACAUGACACAGCUUUAACUGACCGAGGACAUGACUUUAGAUAGGAAGAUUUGGAGGUCGAGGAUCAGUAUAGAAGGUUAAUAGGUAGUUGAGUUUUGUUGCACUGUGUGUGAGAGAGGUGUGGGGCUAGCCUCUUCAUCUCCUCUUCUCCUUUUCUUAGUAGUAUUAUUUAGGUAUCGCGUAGCCUUAUGUGUGUAUUACUAUGUGUUGCUUCAUUUGUUUUGUAUUCUUGAUUUUUUGCUCUCUUAUUUUUCUUGCAAUCCUACAUUGACUAUGUUUCUUUUGAGCCGAGGGUCUAUCGGAAACAACAUCUCUACCUUACAAAGGUAGAGGUAAGGUCUACGUACAUCCUAUUCUCCCCGUACCCCACUUGUGGGAUUACACUGGUAAUGUUGUUGUUGUUGUUGAUCUUGAAGUUUAGGGUGCUGUUAAAAUUUGGUCCGCACUCAUUUGAAGAGUGCCCUGAAAUUUCAAUCUCCCCUGAGAGUUCUUGUACAAUGGGAUCUUACUUGAACUUCAAGAACUUUACUGACACGCCACAUACAGAAAGCAAUGGUAGGAAGUCAAUGGGAAGUGGUAAUUUUCCUUUAGCUAGACAAUCUUCCAUAUACUCCUUGACAUUUGAUGAGCUCCAGACUACCUGCGGUCUCGGAAAAGAUCUUGGAUCAAUGAAUUUGGAGGACCUCUUGAAGAAUAUUUGGACAGCUGAAGAGUCGUCUCAAGGCUUAGCAUCUUCCACUGGUGUUGGAGAUGUGAGUAUGGCUGCGGGAAAUUUGCAGAGACAAGGUUCAUUAACACUGCCUCGGACACUUAGUCAGAAAACGGUCGAUGAAGUAUGGAAAGAUUUCCAUAAAGAGACAACAGUUAAUUCAAAUAUUGGGCAGAAACGAUCUAACUUGGGUGAAAUGACAUUGGAGGAGUUUUUGGUAAAAGCAGGAGUGGUGAGAGAAGAUACUCAACCAAGUGGAGCCUCAAACGAUGUUGGAUUCACGGGUGUUUUUGGUCAACUGAGUACUGACAACAAUGCUCUAAACAUCGGGUUUCAGGAACCAACUCAAAGCCCUGGACUUUUGAGUAAUGAAUUUGCUGAGAAUAACGUGUUGAAUGUGGUUAGUGGAAAAUCUUCCCAACAACAGCCUAAGCAGCGGCCACCUCUUAUUCCAAAACAAACGAAUGUUGCCUUUGCAUCUCCUAUGCAAUUGGAGAACAAUCACCAGCUGGCUAGCCCAGGGGCAAGGGCUCCGGUUGUUCAAGGCGGUGUUAUGCAGGGUGGAGUUACACUUACACCAGUAAAAAGAGGAUCUGCUGGAAAUCAACUGUCACUCGACAUGAUUGCUAAGAACAAUCUGGAUAGUUCAUCUAUUUCACCUUCACCUUAUGCAUUUAGUGAAGGUGGAAGAGGGAGGAGAUCGUGCAGCUCAUUGGAAAAAGUUGUGGAAAGAAGGCAUAAGAGGAUGAUUAAGAACAGAGAGUCCGCAGCAAGAUCAAGGGCUCGGAAGCAGGCCUAUACUUUACAGUUGGAAGCUGAAGUGGAGAAGCUUAAAGAAAUUAAUGAAGAGUUGCAGAAAAAACAGGCUGAAUUUAUCGACAUGCAGAAAAAUCAGGUAGUAACCUCUUUUACAACUGACAAGUACCUCUUGUUGUGAGUCAAUAACUAUCUAUCUUUCCUGCUUCAUUAUGGACUGGAUACAAUGAUGUUAUUGGAAAAAACUAAUAUGUCAUGGGGAAAUAAGUUAAGAUGCUUGAAAAGGACACUGACAGGACCUUGGUAGACCUCCACCGGCGCCACAUCCAGCAUACAAUUUUAGAGAAUAGUUAAGAGUUGUCGAAAGAGUUGUAAUAUGUGAGUUAUGAUCUGAUUUGGAUCUUUUUUCACCAUAUUGUUGGUAGCUAUACGUAUAUAAGUGAGAGUGGCAUGUCCUACUGUAUGUAUGUAUUAUUAUUAUCAUGUAAAUGGCAAAAGAGUUGUAAUAUGUGAGUUAUGAUCUGAUUUGGAUCUUUUUUCACCAUAUUGUUGGUAGCUAUAUGUAUAUAAGUGAGAGUGGCAUGUACUAUAUAUAUGUAUUAUUAUUAUCAUGUAAAUGAGCUUCUUGCAUAAA
Lycium ferocissimum is the source of this 2996-nucleotide RNA transcript. It is a transcript of the gene named ABSCISIC ACID-INSENSITIVE 5-like protein 7, with no coding region annotated. The record is from RefSeq and is a predicted model, not a curated record. NCBI's taxonomy places the organism in Eukaryota, Viridiplantae, Streptophyta, Magnoliopsida, Solanales, Solanaceae. The transcript is spliced from 5 exons.